GGACGUGUUUGACAGUUUGCGCAGGACGUUUUUUCCAUUUCAACCAGCCCCGCAACCAGAGCCGGCCCUAGACCUUUGGGGGCCCUAAGCAAAAUUUGGUUGGAGGCCCCUUUGACCGUUUUAAGUAAGGCCUAAAGAAAAGCAAUGACUACCUUAUAACUAUACUGUACAUAUUAUAUCUACUAUGUUAUUUUUACAUUUUUUAGUCUAUUAAAUUAUGUUUUAAUUAUUCUAUGUAUGCUGUAUGUUAAUUAUCUUUUUUACGCUGCUGGUCCUGAGUAAGUAUUUCGUUCUUAUGUGGCAACAUGUACAGAAUGACAAUAAAAGACCUUGAGUUGUGUUCCAUGUUUGAUGUCUAACAGUGCAACGAACACACACUGAUGAACUUGCUGAAUAAAAAGACUGAUAAAGUGAUUUUCACUGACCAUCAAAGAAACAUUUUUAAUUGACACCAGAGUUUAAGAGGCACAAACAUAAUUUAAAUGAAAUAGAGCAAAUAGAAUAACAUUUAAAUAAAAUAUUAUAUAAAAUAAAUAAUAAAUAGAAAAUUUAAAUGUUUGAAUUUUUCAAAUAAACAAAAUUAACAAUAAAAUCUAAAACAACACAAACAAGAUUAAUAGUAACAAUAAUAAGAAUUAGGUAACAUUUCAAUAGAACUAUUAAAAUCCAAACUUGUGUAUUUGUGUGCUUGCACAUGCAUACAUGGUCUGCUUGGAAAAAAAGUAAUUUGCUAAAAUACAAAAAAUUGAAUUAAAGGUUGUAUCAGCGAUUUCAGGCCCAAAAAGGCCCAACCAUAAAUGAUCACAUUCAUCUAAUCUUUCCUAACGAUCCGCUAGCUGCCUGCCUUAUAAGCAGGCCGUCAAAAAACGCGUCUCUGUAGGCAGCCUAGGCUCUGAGAUCUGCACACAAAAACAAUUGGUUUCACCAACCACUCAAAACCAAAACAAAUAGUGUUCCAACCAAUCACCGACAGGCGAGGGUGUUGUGCAUCCCAAUAUAAGACUUUUAGACUGCAGAUUAUCCAUACAGGUAUCGGAAAAUUAAGCCUACAGGUUUACGUACCUUUAUCUUCUUGCUUCUUCUCUUCUUCCAGCCUCUUCUUUUGUCGUUUUUCAUGGCCAGAAAGAUAUUUUCAUUUCUUGUCAGACAUCGCCGACGUCGGAGUAACUGACUGACAGACACUGACCAGGUGACGAGUGACAUCAUAGGGGUCAGUCAGGGUCAAGAUUCGCGGGGAACUCGCCAUAAUAAAGAACUAAAUAAAUAACA
Molecule: long non-coding RNA, 1269 nt
Organism: Cyprinus carpio (common carp)
Lineage: Eukaryota; Metazoa; Chordata; Actinopteri; Cypriniformes; Cyprinidae
Source: Ensembl